GACGAACGCUGGCGGCGUGCCUAACACAUGCAAGUCAGGGAUUGAAGGGUAGCAAUACUUUUCAAGACCGGCGCACGGGUGAGUAACACGUAGGUAAUCUACCCUUAGGCGGGGAACAACCCCGAGAAAUCGGGGCUAAUACCGCAUAAUGCAACGAGACCACAUGAUUUUGUUGUUAAAGAUCCGCAAGGAUCACCAGAGGAUGAACCUGCGUCCGAUUAGCUAGUUGGCGGAGUAANACGCCCACCAAGGCGACGAUCGGUAGCCGACCUGAGAGGGUGAUCGGCCAC
This 290-nucleotide ribosomal RNA is filed under the name uncultured bacterium. RNAcentral describes it as "partial 16S ribosomal RNA". It matches the Rfam family "Bacterial small subunit ribosomal RNA", at positions 28 to 311 of the family's 1533-position model. The record is from RNAcentral.